GUGCUCCAUUUGGCAGCACAUAUACUAAAAUUGGAAUGAUAUAGAGAUUAGCACAGCCCCAGUGCAAAGAUGACAUGCAAAUUCAUGAAGCCUUCCAUGUCUUU
This is a small nuclear RNA of Nycticebus coucang (slow loris), 104 nucleotides long. The record is from RefSeq and is a predicted model, not a curated record. Lineage: Eukaryota; Metazoa; Chordata; Mammalia; Primates; Lorisidae.